Nannospalax galili (Upper Galilee mountains blind mole rat) is the source of this 675-nucleotide long non-coding RNA. RefSeq lists it as uncharacterized. NCBI's taxonomy places the organism in Eukaryota, Metazoa, Chordata, Mammalia, Rodentia, Spalacidae. The transcript has 4 exons. The record is from RefSeq and is a predicted model, not a curated record.
CUCAUAUUCCUGCUCUUCAGUGUCGGACAUCCUGGAGUAACCUAGGGACCACAGAGAAGAGACAGGGUCGGACUAGCUCUCAUCUGCUUCCAGAUCUCUGUUAGAUUCCAUCAGAGCUACCCUAGAGACUCAGCUGGGUCAGGUACCCCACAAACUCCCUCAAGGUACCAAGACUGGAGUCCCCAAGACUGGUGCAAGACGAGGUCUCAGCCCUCAAACUUUUUCUUGCGGCCCUCCAUUCCACUCAGUGCAUCGAUGUUCUUGCGCCAGUCCCCCACCUCCCGGUUUUCCUGAAGGCAUGAGGUCAGAGUUCAGGCUCCAGGUUGAAGCUUCUAAUCUUGCAACUUCAUGAUCUUCCUGAUACACCCCAGCCACAGGUCUCGGAUCUUCUGACAGUGAGGCCCAGCCAUGCCCAGAUCAUAACUCCUCAGCCUGCACCUGAAUUCAGUGCUCCAGCCACAUGUUCCCACAGACACUUAUGAGUCCCAGGCCCUGACUGGCAUGUGCUGUCUCUAGGCUAGAGCCGCCUUCCCUAGACAGAGUGUACUCAUCCUGCUCCCUGCACUCUGCUCAGAGUUAUCCUGCAUCUCAAGCAAAAGCAGCCACAGCCGUCAGCCUCAGGCCCCAGUUCUGAGGAUCUUGACCCACUCUGAAGGUGCCCAGGCUGCCCGGGGU